Molecule: ribosomal RNA, 207 nt
Filed under: uncultured bacterium
Lineage: Bacteria
Description: partial 16S ribosomal RNA
Rfam family: Bacterial small subunit ribosomal RNA
Source: RNAcentral
CGCGUAGGCGGCUUUAUAAGUCUGGAGUGAAAGUCCUCUUUUCAAGGGAGGAAUUGCUUUGGAAACUAUAGAGCUUGAGUGCAGGAGAGGUUAUCGGAAUUCCCGGUGUAGCGGUGAAAUGCGUAGAUAUCGGGAGGAACAUCGGUGGCGAGGGCGGGUAACUGGACUGCAACUGACGCUGAGGCGCGAAAGUGUGGGGAGCAAACA